Molecule: non-coding RNA, 6901 nt
Organism: Paramisgurnus dabryanus
Lineage: Eukaryota; Metazoa; Chordata; Actinopteri; Cypriniformes; Cobitidae
Source: RefSeq, a predicted model, not a curated record
AUAGCAUAUUAUGAUUAAUUUAACAUUUAUGAUGUUGUUCGAUUUUAUCCAUUGCGUUAAAAUAAACAGAUUUUAAAACGAGAUUUAAAUUUCAGUAGGCUAGGCUGUAUGUUCGCUGUUGUACAGUGUAGGUUGUUAAACACUGCAAGUGUGUCAAAGUGGGAGUGUCUCAUACAUAUUCAAGUCAAACUUUGCUCCUGGGAAUAAGAUUUCCUAAUAAAAAACACUGCUGAGUGUCACAGUGGGUUAAUGCUGUAAUUAAACCGAAACAUCUGUGCUGGUUUAUCUCAGUAUUGUUUAGACAGCAUUCAAUAUUUGAUCUUGAACUCGAUUAAAUCUGAAUUCAUCUCGCAUACUUGUGAACUUUAAAGUUAAAACUUUGAAUGUUUUAUUUAGUCAGUGAGUUUCUCUCUCUCUCUCUUUUUUUGCAUUAGAGAUUUACUUUUCCCCCUGAACUCUCGGUGAUCUCUUGAGAUUUUAUGUAACGUACUUUUCCACCAAUGAUGCGCAGUCCAAGCCACAAAUAGCUUUGAAGUCUGCAUGAAGAAUUACAAGUGGAUUUGUAAACAUCCUUUCAUACUCAAUAAUUUAUAUUCAUUCGCCUGUAUAAAAGACCCACUGUCGCCCCUCUAUCAGAGCGCGUCACGUACUGCACAUACGCAACCCGAGCCAACAGUGCGCGCGCGAACGCAAACAGAGCUUGAUGAUGAAGGGCUUGUGGGAGGGGCAGUGAAAUUAAUGAUAAAUUGACCGUAGAUAGAGAGACAUUACGAUAAAAUCGCAGCAGGAACUCAGGCUGUGCAUGCCGUGACGGGAAUUGGCUUAUUCCCAAUACUUAUCAAUACAUCAACACUGUUGAAGGUUUAAUGUUUGCUUAGUCAUUUCUGGAAUUCUUGAACAGCAAAUGACUCUGUGGAGAUCAAUGAGAGACAUGAUUGCGACAGCUUUGACUUUUCUCUGAAGGUGUGCUACUGAAUGUGUGCCUAGACAGAGACUUAAAGGGAUAGUUCGCCCAAAAAUGAAAAUUAUGUCAUCAUUUAUUCACUCUCAUGUUGUUACAAACCUGUAUAAAAAUUCUUUGUUCUGAUGACCACAAAGGAAGAUAUUUCGAAACCGUUUGUGAGCCCCAUUCACUUCCAUAGUAGGAAAAACGAAUACUAAAGUAAUUGAGGAUCGGUUUAGUUACAAUCUCAGAAAAGUGAGAGGAGAUAAAAUGGAAUGAAGUAUACUAUACUCUGCUGUUAUUUUGAAGCCUUCUUUGUUUACAACACUUGUGUACAUGCAAACAUAUCUCUAUGUUAAGUAAAUUAUAUCGAAAGAGUAAUCAUGUUUGGUCUGCAAAGACCUUAUAAGGAUGUUUCUCUGUAUGUGUGUGCGUGCAAAACGCCUGUUUUGUAAUAUAAACACUUCUAAAUAGUAUAGCCUAUGUUAUGUCUGGGUUUAAAAAACAUUUUAAAGGUAUACUCUCAGAAAAAAGGUACAAAAGUUUACACUGGGACUGUACCUUUUAAAAAGGUCCUUAUAUGGUACAGAUGUGUACCUUUGAGAUAUCAGUCUAUCAGUACAUUUGGUAUUCCAAUAUCCAACCCAGUGACAACUUUUUAUCUUCUUGUACCUUUGUUUCUGAAAGUUUAACAUCAAAAGAAAAGAAAAAAGAAAAAAUUCUGUUUCUCUCUGUCAUUUCUCUUUACUUGUGUUUUUCUCAGCCAUGAGAUAUUUUGCCAGAGACUAAGCACUUGAGGGAUUUAUUCAGAACCCAUUUCCCUAUCUAGCCCUUGCAUAUGUUUAUUUAGAGUUCUAAGAGAAAGAUUAUUAUUUUGCACAGAAAUGGGGAUGAUUUCAAAAAAUAACAUGGAAAAAUUCAUUUUACGCAAAUCUACUAAAAGAUCGGUAACAAUCCUUUGCCCAAAAACAGCAAGAAUUCUCUUGAGUACACUUGUGCAUUUUUAACUCUCAAGUAGAGGCCAUAGUGGUUACAGAACUCCUUGUUUUUCAUCAUGCUGAAUAUAGUUUUUCAUGACUUUGAAAUCUUAAACUGCACUGGAAAUAUGUAUAUUUGUGUGGGGAUUUACUACCAAGAGAACUCUACUUUGGCCCCUUCACUUUAGUACUGGAAAAGAUUUUGGAGAAAAUCCCUGAACACUGUGUUCUCCACACUUGAUCAAUGACAACCAUUUGAAUCUGUUCGUAAUAGAGUUUGUUUUUAUAUACAGUAUAGACAUACAGUAAUAAUUGGACCUGGAAUUUGUGAAUGUAAAAUAAGAGACUUUCCCAUUUAUUUAAAUGCAUUAUUUUGGUGAGACAAUAAGAUGAAAUGCUUUUAUUUUGUGUCCGGGAGCAUUAUUUACUGAAAAAUAACUUGAAACAUUUAUGACAUGUGUCACUUUAAAAACCUAUUUAAUUUAAAUACAUUUUUUUGUAUUUUUAAUAAUAAAUACAAAUUAUUGUUUGGUAUCUCAAACUUGUAAAAUGGCAGGCGGGGCCAGUGGUGGACUGGCCAUCUGGAGCCCGGGAGUUACAGGUGUUACUUUGUUUUAUGUUAUGUUAUGGUUAGUGAGAUGCCAUUGGCAAAUAGUUCAACUGCAUGAUUUCUUAAUAAAUUUGACUUUCUUAGAAGUUUAAGCAUUUAUGUUUCUGAAUUAUGGUGUUUAAAAAUAGCCUGUGCACCAAUAUGCAAGUAUGUUGGGAACAGGGUGUGGUGAGAAAGUCCAGUGCCAAUUUUUAGUCCCUGUCUGCCCAGUCCCAGUUUUUUCAACUGUUAAAAAUGGUGUUUAAAUUAUUAAAAUUCAAAAAUAAGAAUCUUUGGGAUUAUUCGAAACCUUUCAUAUUAACAAACUUUAUGAAUAUCAGUAUUGCUGAGAUGUUAGGAUAAGUGAAAAACUUUUUUCCAACAAUUUGAAUGUUCUCAAAUGUUAAAGUAUAAUACAACUUCAAUCAUAGGCCGUUUAUUAGAAGUUAACAAGUAUAUACAACAAACAUGAUAUUUUAUCAUCCAGUGAAACCAAGGUGGUCUUUAUGGUUGGGUAAAAAGAUUGUAUAUUUCUACUUUAAUGUAAUGGGUGGCUAGUACACUUUCUGUGUCAUGGGUGCAACCAAUGUAAAACUAGAAAACAUUAUAUUUUAUGAAAAACAUUUUAAUUAGUAGAUUGAUGAAUUGAUAUUAUUCAAGCAUCCAAAUAAAAGAAUGUAAAUUCAUUGCAGAGGUCAGGUGGUGCAACCAGAAAUUCAUCGGGUGCAACUGCUAUGAAUGCCAUAAGAAAUAAAAAAACAUAAAGCUAAAAAUUUUAAUAAGAAAUUAAUUUAGCUAAAAAUGUUAAUUUUAAUAAAUGCAAGCUAAGGUUGUCUGCGAUUGUUAUUAUACUAUUAAAUAUUAAAUUUUAAAUUCAUUUUAAAUGUCAGUUAUAUGGUAAAGUUGUUUUCAAACAAUUUUUAGGAUACUCAUUUUAAAUGCCACUUUCAAACAAACAAACAAUCAGCAUGACACAGGGAGCACAAUAAAACUUAUCUGGCAAAUAGAAAAUUAUUUUUAUUUUUUAUAUUUUAUUAUUUUUUUGAAUGGGAUAUCAAAGAUAUUUUAAAAGAAAUCAUUAAAAGGUACUGAAAUGUUGUUCAAAAAACAAACAUUUUCUGACUCAAAUACAUUUUUAGGAGCUUGUUUGGUCAUUUAACGACCCAGAUUUUUAUUUAAUGUAACGCAAAGUGCAUUUUGCACUUUAAAAAUGGCUGUUUUUUUACCUAGUAAAUAUGGGACAGAACACAUGCUGGGUUAAAAUGACCCCAUGCUGGGUUAAAAAUAACCCAAUGUUGGGUUUUGUUAUGCAACCACGAAUUAUAAUAACCCUACAGUUUAUUUAAAACAUCCCAGCAUUGUGUCAGUUUUAACCCACAGUGUGUUCAGUCCAAUAUUGAUCCAUUAUGGGUCAAAAAUAACCCAGCCAUUUUUAGAGUGUGUGUUCUCCGAGAACUGAACCCUUGACCUUUGUGUUCUUAGCACCAUGUUCUACCCGUUGAGCUGCUGAAAGCCAAUUAUUAUAAGUUUGACUCUUUAAAUAACCAAGAGUGAUACAAAGUGCUGCAACUCAAAUCAAGUUCUCAUAACUGAAUAAGCAUGUCAAUGCAGGGAGAUUUGACAUUAUUUAUUCUGCAAAAAAGGAGUUCUCAAAUCUGCAAAGUAUUUCAUUCAACAUCUUUUAUUUCUCAAACAGCUCAAUUAAGGGUUAUUUUGCUUUCAAAUGUAAGAAAACCUGCUGCUUUCAACCUGUUUUUGUCUUCAGGCAUAUACGUUUAUCACAGAGCUAAACAGGUGGGAACAGAAAGUUGUGUAAAAAAAACAUAUUUUUAUGGCAUGUGCUGACAUGGUUUUGUGACACAACACGCACACACACAGUUUAUUAUGUGUGAAAAAUGUGGGUGUGAUGUGAACUUAGAAAACAUGUCAUUUGUCAUUGAUACUUAUGACUUGAAGCAGCCUAACAUUUGAUAAUAACCAAUUAUGGCCUAGUCCUGUAGAUAUUUAACUUUGUGUUGUUAUGCACCUGCUAAGUCUUAUCAUCAUUUGAUUGCACAAAAUUUCCAAGAUGUAAAAACGUGCAGGUAAAGUGCCUUAUUGCAUUGGUUUCUGUGGCAGAUUGGAUUCAUAGAGGUGUAAAUGGGGAAAGGCAAGACUACUCUGCUUUGCCUUUGACCCUCUCUCUGCUGAAUUUAACCAAACCUAAUUGGUUCCAGUUUAACUCUUAUAAUCGUCAGUGUAAUAUUUGCUAAUCAUCAGUACACAGCAAAAUCACCAGUGUUAAAUUUUCCGGGAUGGUGUUAAAUACACAGUGUUGAUGUUGUUUUAACACUAUCUGGUAAUAAAAUAACACUGCCAUUGCUAGGCCAGUGUUAUAUCCACAACAGUGUCAGUGUUAAACAAGGGUGUUAUCAGAUUUCACUCUGAGCGGUGUAAAUCAAGCCACGCCUCCACUAAACAUUUCCUGUCAGGGAUUUUACCGCCAUUUUCUUUCACAGGAGGACUGAAGAGAUCAGAUGCUAGUUUGGUGAAAGUUCACACUGAGUGCUUCAAAUCAUUCAGAAGAGAUGCUGUUUUUAGGGCAGUUUAUUAAAGAAGACCUGACAUGGAUGACUUACAAUGAGAAACGACUGCUAAUACUUAUAUAAAUUCAUUACAGAAGGACCCUACCAGACUAUAUUUGAAUACGGCAUACCCAUGAAUUCUGGAACUGUUAUUCCUUAACCCAGUUUGGAGGAUAAGAGCUUACCAACUAGUUAUAAAUAUGGUGAGGUGAUGUAUUGCAAAAUAGCCAACAUACAACAAUAUGGAUGACCCUCUGUCUGGUCAACAGGAGUUUAAAUAUGGACGGGACAGUUAUGUGGCAGCUCUUCCCUGGCUCAUUCACCUCUUGCCUUUCAUUUGUGAAAGGAAGAAAGAGGGUCAAUGUGCAACUGAAGCUACUGAUUGUGCUGUGUGAUGAGCAUCAAUCCAUGCUUUGAGGUGGAUGGAUCAGCACAGCCCUGCCUGCACUGCGUUGGGAACAGAAGUUGCAUCCAGAAUUUUUGCAUCAUUCUGGACCAAAAAGCCAUUCCCUCCAUGAUGAAGACCACUGAUGCAGCCUUCCACUACAUCAUGAGUAAAACAACUACAGAACUAAAUACCAGGUUGGAACGUAUUUAAGAAAAAUGAAACGUCUUUUCAAUUGAAAUGUCUGUUUUGUUAUGGAUAAAUCUUUAGUAUUGUGAAGGAUAAGCAUUUCUGCCUGCCAGUAAGGUAAUUGCAGUGUAUUUUAAUGUUCAAGUUUUGAAUAGGGUGGCUAAUUUUUUUUAAAAUCUCAUUUGAUUUAUUAAAGACCUUAUAAUAAGUGGUUUUCAUGUCACUGCGCUGUGGUAUAAGAUAACUUUCAUUAUUCCAUACUGUAUUCUGUUUCUAAUUGUAGCUGAGGUAUUUAAAUAAGCAGUGUUAAAUGCAAAGUGUUGUGUGUAUAAAUGUAAAUAUUAAAUGUGAUGUACUUUAAUAAAAAGAGGUUUUGCAAUAUUUCUUGUCAUUUGUCUUUUAUAGAAACAACCCAUUAGCAACAAAAGUGGCUAUUAAUCAGUAUUUUAACACUUAACAUUGUUGAAUUCACAUUACACUGGUGUUGACCUUAAAUUAGGAGUGUUAAUUUUUAACACUGUAUUUCUGUGCCAACACCAGUGUAGUGUGGAAACAACAAUGAAUAGUGUUGAACAAAGUGUAAAAUUUAACAAUAUUGAGUGUUAAAUUAACAUAUAAUGAGUGUUGUUAAAUUAACACUACACUUUUGACUAAAUUAACACAGUGUAGUGUGGACACAUAUACACACUUUUCCAGUGUUAAAUUUGACACCCUGGGUGUUAUUUUAACACCAGUGAUUUUGCUGUGUAGUAACUUGAACUUGAGUUUGGAAAUGGAUUAUAAUACAAUUGCCCUACUGAAAAAAAACCCUACUAAAACCACCUUAAGCAGCUGAGCCGGUUUUAGCUGGUCUCCCAGCUUGGUUUAAGCAGGUGUAGCAAGCAGAUCUAAAUGUGUUUUGGUCACUUUUUACGAUGGUCAAACUGAACUUUGGUUAUGCUGGAAGACCAGCUGACCCACCAGCUUGAUCAGCUUUGUCAGGAUGGGAGGACCAUCUUAAACCAGUUAAAACCUGCAAACCAGUUAUAGUUGUUUUUUUUUACAAAAAAAGUUAAAUAUAAAAUGCAAAUGUUAAAAUGUAAAUGUUUUUGAAAGUGACACGUCGCCUACACUGCCAACAGGGAAAUUAGCAGAGCAGAGAGAUGUGUAGCCUACAAUUAUUGAACGCGUCAUCAAGAAAUUAAGAUUAGACAGAACUCGCUUGCUUUUCUUCUGAAAAAAAAAAAAAACGUUUCAAUCAGUGUUCAGAAAUAA